UGAGAUUAUUUAUUUAAUUAUAUUAUCAACUAUUAAGUAAAUCUCUUCAUGUCCUUAUUCGUGAUUUGAUACUUAAUCACUCUUUGAAAAGCUUGGUCAAACACAAAUUAUUAUUCAGAAGUGCUUUUUAGAUUGAUUAGCCAAACACAAACUACUUCUCACCAAAAAUACUUUUUCGGAACGCACUUUUCAAAUAAGCUGAUUUUUCCAGCUUGGCCAAACAGGCUACUAGACUGAAUCCCACAUAACUAUUAUUGCUUCAAUUUAUUCUGAUACUCCCUCCAUUUCAAUUUAUGUAUCUUACUUUCCUCUAAUCGGUUCAAAAAGGAUGUCAUAUUUCUUUAUUCAAAAGUCCUUAAUUCUAACACUCC
This 371-nucleotide long non-coding RNA is filed under the name Nicotiana benthamiana. RNAcentral's name for it is "long non-coding RNA (NBEN_LNC002051)". Lineage: Eukaryota; Viridiplantae; Streptophyta; Magnoliopsida; Solanales; Solanaceae. The record is from RNAcentral.